UCUCUACCUGAUCUUGUCGACUCGCUCUCUCACGUCCGAUCAAAAUCUUACAAAAUUGUUACUUGUCUCUCUUCUAUCUAGAGACAUGGCUAAUGGCGGAGCUGCUGCGUGUGCAGAGAGGGCGACGAGUGAUGCGUUGAUGGGCCCCGAUUGGGCUGCAAAUAUUGAGCUUUGUGACCUUAUCAACAUGGACCCAGGGCAAGCAAAGGAUGCCCUUAAGGUUCUUAAGAAGCGCUUAGGGAG
Molecule: long non-coding RNA, 243 nt
Organism: Asparagus officinalis (garden asparagus)
Lineage: Eukaryota; Viridiplantae; Streptophyta; Magnoliopsida; Asparagales; Asparagaceae
Exons: 3
Source: RefSeq, a predicted model, not a curated record